GACGUAGGGUGCGAGCGUUGUCCGGAUUUAUUGGGCGUAAAGGGUGCGUAGGCGGUUGAGUAAGUUGGAUGUGAAAUCUUGGGGCUUAACCUCAAAAUUGCAUUCAAUACUGCUUUGCUUGAGCGCUGUAGAGGAGAUUGGAAUUUACGGUGUAGCAGUGAAAUGCGUAGAUAUCGUAAGGAACGCCAGUGGCGAAAGCGAAUCUCUGGGCAGCAGCUGACGCUGAGGCACGAAAGCGUGGGGAGCGAACAGG
Molecule: ribosomal RNA, 253 nt
Filed under: uncultured bacterium
Lineage: Bacteria
Description: partial 16S ribosomal RNA
Rfam family: Bacterial small subunit ribosomal RNA
Source: RNAcentral